UAUUGCACAAUGGGGGAAACCCUGAUGCAGCGACGCCGCGUGAGUGAAGGAGUAUUUCGGUAUGUAAAGCUCUAUCCGCAGGGAAGAAAAUGACGGUACCUGAUUAAGAAGCCCCGGCUAACUACUUGCCAGCAGCCGCGGUAAUACGUAGGGGGCAAGCGUUAUCCGGAUUUACUGGGUGGAAAGGGAGCGUAGACGGCAGCACAAGUCUGGAGUGAAAUGCCGGGGCUUAACCACGGAACUGCUUUGGAAACUGUGCAGCUAGAGUGCAGGAGAGGGAAGUGGAAGUCCUAGUGUAGCGGUGAAAUGCGUAGAUAUUAGGAGGAACACCAGUGGCGAAGGCGGCUUACUGGACUGUAACUGACGUUGAGGCUCGAAAGCGUGGGGAGCAAACAGG
Molecule: ribosomal RNA, 397 nt
Filed under: uncultured bacterium
Lineage: Bacteria
Description: bacterial SSU rRNA
Rfam family: Bacterial small subunit ribosomal RNA
Source: RNAcentral